GACGUAGGGCGCGAGCGUUGUCCGGAUUUAUUGGGCGUAAAGAGCUCGUAGGCGGCUUGGUAGGUCCGCUGUGAAAACUCGAGGCUCAACCUCGAGAUGUCGGCGGAAACCACUUGGCUAGAGUCCGGAAGAGGAGAGUGGAAUUCCCGGUGUAGCGGUGAAAUGCGCAGAUAUCGGGAAGAACACCUAUGGCGAAGGCAGCUCUCUGGGACGGUACUGACGCUGAGACGCGAAAGCGUGGGGAGCGAACAGG
RNAcentral lists this ribosomal RNA (253 nucleotides) under uncultured bacterium. RNAcentral describes it as "partial 16S ribosomal RNA". It matches the Rfam family "Bacterial small subunit ribosomal RNA", at positions 524 to 776 of the family's 1533-position model. The record is from RNAcentral.